GAUGAACGCUGGCGGCGUGCUUAACACAUGCAAGUCGAACGGUGAAGCUCCAGCUUGCUGGGGUGGAUCAGUGGAGAACGGAUGAGUAACACGUGAGCAACCUGCCCCUGACUCUGGGAUAACAGCAGGGAACGGCUGCUAAUCUAGGAUAUGAAACAUGAACGCAUGUUCUGUGGUGGUAUAGAACUUUCGGUAGGGGAGGGGGGUGCGGGCUCUCAGCUUGUUGGCGGGGUAGUGGGUUACGAAGGUGUCGACGGGUAGCCGGACAGAGAGGGUGACCGGCCACGCGGGGACUGAGACAGGGCGCAGACGCGGACAGGAGGGAACAGUGGGGAAUAGUGCGCAGUGGGGGAGAGCCGGAUGCGACGGCGCCGCGUGGGUGAUGACGGCCUUCGGGUUGUAAACCACGUUUAGCUGGUAUGUGGCGGGAUUGACGGUACCUGCAGAAAAAGCGCCGGCUAACUACGUG
This 469-nucleotide ribosomal RNA is filed under the name uncultured bacterium. RNAcentral describes it as "partial 16S ribosomal RNA". It matches the Rfam family "Bacterial small subunit ribosomal RNA", at positions 28 to 507 of the family's 1533-position model. The record is from RNAcentral.